GGGGGGUAGCCCGGCCCGGGGCCGGCGCGGCCUUGAAAACCGAGGGCGCCCGCGAGGGCGCGGCGUUCGACUCGCCUGCCCCCCGCCA
This 88-nucleotide transfer RNA is filed under the name Polyangiaceae bacterium. Its description in RNAcentral is "tRNA-OTHER". The record is from RNAcentral. Lineage: Bacteria; Pseudomonadati; Myxococcota; Polyangiales; Polyangiaceae.